GGAGCAUGUGACUGGAAUCUUAUGAGCCUGGGAGUGUUGGAAUCUCUAGGAUUCAGUUGAGAGAGAAAUUGUCUCUCUGGAGCUGAAGAGGAAAGGAGAGAGAAGUGUGGCUGAAUCUGUCAGAAGAUCAGUUCCCAAAUUCCUUUGAAGACCCUUUGGCUGUGAUGAGGAUUUAUUCUUCAAUCAUCAGCUGGUCAGGGGUUUGAGGAGCUGUGUUCAACUUGGAGGAGUUGUCAUUUGUGGACAUUUCACCUUGGAUUCCUGUUUUGGCUCCCAGAGACUCUAUUGAGCAUGUGACUGGAAUCUUAUGAGCCUGGAAGUGUUGGAAUCUUUGGGAUUCAGUUGAGAGAAACUCUCUCUGAAGCUGAAGAGGAAAGGAGAGAGAAGUGUGGCUGAAUCUGUCAGAAGAUCAGUUCCCAAAUUCCUGUGAAGAUCCUUUGUGGUGAGGAUUUAUUCUUCAAUCAUCAGUUGGUCAGGGAUUAAGGAGCUGUAUUCAACUUGGAGGAGUUGCCAUCUGUGGACAUUUCACCUUGGAUUCCUGUUUCAGCUCCCAGAGACUAUGCAUAUAGGAAAGAGUCUACAUAAGCCCCAGAGGAAUGACAACUAUAAGGCUUUCUAGGUGGAGCAAGAGAAAGCACUGAUGGCUUAGUGGACGUCAUAUAAGCUCCUCGUACAAUUCCUGGCACAAAGCAGGUGCUCAAAUAGACAUCGGUUGGUUAAUGAGGAUGUGGUAUUCUGGACAUUAUUUUAGGUGAUUGCUCAUUGCCCCACAUUAAAAGUUCCCCAAUCUGCUCCAAUUUCCUCUUUCACAGUUUCAAGCAUUCAAUCCCACAAAGACCUAGUUUAAAAUGAAGAUAUGCCAGGGAAGCUAGAUGGCUCAGUGGAUGGAAAGCCAAGCCUGGAGCUGGGAGGUCUUGGGGUUCAAAUCUGGCCUCAGAUAUGAAGGUUUCAUGGUUUUAAUCUGGUCUCAGACACUCCCUAGCGUGUGCCCCUGGCCAAGUUAUUUAACCCUUAUUGCCUACCCCUUACCACUCUUCUGACUUAGAAUCUAUAUUAUA
Non-coding RNA from Monodelphis domestica (gray short-tailed opossum), 1058 nucleotides. The record is from RefSeq and is a predicted model, not a curated record. Lineage: Eukaryota; Metazoa; Chordata; Mammalia; Didelphimorphia; Didelphidae.